AACGAACGCUGGCGGCGUGGAUUAGGCAUGCAAGUCGAACGCGAAAGAGGGGGAAACCCCUCGAGUAGAGUGGCGAACGGGUGAGUAACGCGUGAAGAACCUGCCUUCAACAGGGGGAUAACACUCCCAACGGGGUGCUAAUACCGCAUGAGACCACGGGUCUGCAUGGACCUGAGGUCAAAGGUGGCCUCUGCUUGCAAGCUACCGGUUGAAGAUGGCUUCGCGUCCCAUUAGCAGUUGGCGGUGUAACGGACCACCAAGGCGACGAUGGGUAGCUGGUCUGAGAGGAUGGUCAGCCACACUGGGACUGAGAUACGGCCCAGACUCCUACGGGAGGCAGCAGUCGAGAGGCUUCGGCAAUGGGGAAACCCUGACCGAGCGACGCCGCGUGGAGGAUGAAGGCCCUUGGGUUGUAAACUCCUUUUGUUGGGAAGAAAUGCGAUCAGGUGAACAAUCUGGUCG
This 462-nucleotide ribosomal RNA is filed under the name uncultured bacterium. RNAcentral's name for it is "bacterial SSU rRNA". It matches the Rfam family "Bacterial small subunit ribosomal RNA", at positions 29 to 475 of the family's 1533-position model. The record is from RNAcentral.